CCUACGGAGUGCAGCAGUGAGGAAUAUUGGUCAAUGGGCGCGAGCCUGAACCAGCCAAGUAGCGUGAAGGAUGACUGCCCUACGGGUUGUAAACUUCUUUUAUAAAGGAAUAAAGUGAGGCACGUGUGCCUCUUUGUAUGUAAUUUAUGAAUAAGGAUCGGCUAACUCCGUGCCAGCAGCCGCGGUAAUACGGAGGAUACGAGCGUUAUCCGGAUUUAUUGGGUUUAAAGGGAGCGUAGAUGGGUUGUUAAGUCAGUUGUGAAAGUUUGCGGCUCAACCGUAAAAUUGCAAUUGAUACUGGCAUUCUUGAGUACAGUUGAGGUAGGCGGAAUUCGUGGUGUAGCGGUGAAAUGCUUAGAUAUCACGAAGAACUCCGAUUGCGAAGGCAGCUUACUAGACUGCCACUGACAUUGAUGCUCGAAAGUGUGGGUAUCAAACAGGAUUAGAUACCCGUGUAGUC
Molecule: ribosomal RNA, 460 nt
Filed under: uncultured bacterium
Lineage: Bacteria
Description: partial 16S ribosomal RNA
Rfam family: Bacterial small subunit ribosomal RNA
Source: RNAcentral